This 434-nucleotide ribosomal RNA is filed under the name uncultured bacterium. RNAcentral describes it as "partial 16S ribosomal RNA". It matches the Rfam family "Bacterial small subunit ribosomal RNA", at positions 29 to 507 of the family's 1533-position model. The record is from RNAcentral.
AGCGAACGCUGGCGGCAGGCCUAACACAUGCAAGUCGAACGAACCUUUCGGGGUUAGUGGCGGACGGGUGAGUAACACGUGGGAACGUGCCUUUAGGUUCGGUACAACUCAGGGAAACAUGUGCUAAUACCGAAUGUGCCCUUCGGGGGAAAGAUUAAUCGCCUUUAGAGCGGCCCGCGUCUGAUUAGCUAGUUGGUUGAGGUAAUGGCUCACCAAGGCGACGAUCAGUAGCUGGUCUGAGAGGAUGAUCAGCCACAUUGGGACUGAGACACGGCCCAAACUCCUACGGGAGGCAGCGGUGGAGAGUCUUGCGCAAUGGGCGAAAGCCUGACGCAGCCAUGCCGCGUGAAUGAUGAAGGUCUUAGUAUUGUAAAAUUCUUUCACCGGGGACGAUAAUGACGGUACCCGGAGAAGAAGCCCCGGCUAACUUCGUG